Molecule: ribosomal RNA, 276 nt
Filed under: uncultured bacterium
Lineage: Bacteria
Description: partial 16S ribosomal RNA
Rfam family: Bacterial small subunit ribosomal RNA
Source: RNAcentral
GAUAAACGCUGGCGGCAUGCUUAAUACAUGCAAGUUGAACGAAGCGUAAAGCUAAGUAGCGGACGGGUGAGUAACGCGUAAGAAUCUACCUUUAGGAAAAGAAUAACAAUUGGAAACGAUUGCUAAUACUUUAUAAGCUGAGAAGUGAAAGGUUUUCCGCCUAAAAAUGAGCUUGCGUCUGAUUAGUUUGUUGGUAGAGUAAAAGCCUACCAAGACUACAAUCAGUAACUGGUCUGAGAGGACGACCAGUCACACUGGGACUGAGACACGGCCCAG